GGAAAGUUUCCUAGUAACAGCACAUGAGAAAGUUUCUUCAUACCGUUAGUAACAGCACAAAAUGGCAGGCUAGAUAGGUAACUUAGGCUUUAACAUUUUACCUAGGCUGUUACAAGUGUGCCUGGAGGGAAAAGCACUGCUCGCAGGUAGGACUAAAAAAACAGAAAAGGUGAAAGGUUAAGAAGUUCAACCGAUCUGGGACUUUGUCUUGUAUCUACACAAUGAAGGAGCAAGGCAUUGAAUGCAGAACAUCCUGUCUUGAAGCAAACAGGUUCUGCAAAAAGACAUCCAGAUAGGGGGUCUGUAUCCAACGGCUGAUGAGGAAAGUCCAUGGAAGCAGGCUAACCCAGAGCUCCUUUGAUGAAUGCAGUUGAAUCCAGGUUCCGGAUUUUCACGUAAAGCUGUUAGCUGAAGAAGGGUACAAGAUUCCAUUGUUCCUGUUUUCUAAACUUCUCACCAUCAGGAAACAAGUGACAACCAUAUCAUCACUAGAACUACAGACAAGUGACAGCUGUAGUGGCCGUGUAAAACUGCACUGACCUCUGAGACACAGUCCACCAAAUGCUGACAUCAGACUUCUCCAUCACCAUGGGGGAAAAAGCUGGCCACCCGAUAGGACUGGCUUUGAGAUGAAACCUCUGUGAGCAGCAGAUGCUAAUAAAUAUCGGUAUAUUCCACUACCUGAGCCCCCUUAACC
Long non-coding RNA from Mastomys coucha (southern multimammate mouse), 697 nucleotides. RefSeq lists it as uncharacterized. Lineage: Eukaryota; Metazoa; Chordata; Mammalia; Rodentia; Muridae. The transcript has 5 exons. The record is from RefSeq and is a predicted model, not a curated record.